GAUGUAACUCAAUGGUAGAGCACUUGCCUAGCAUGCAGGAUGCCCUGGGUUCAGUCCCCAGUAUAAUCA
Molecule: transfer RNA, 69 nt
Filed under: Heterocephalus glaber (naked mole-rat)
Lineage: Eukaryota; Metazoa; Chordata; Mammalia; Rodentia; Bathyergidae
Rfam family: tRNA
About the family: Transfer RNA (tRNA) molecules are approximately 80 nucleotides in length. Their secondary structure includes four short double-helical elements and three loops (D, anti-codon, and T loops).
Source: Rfam by way of RNAcentral